Long non-coding RNA from Lates calcarifer (barramundi perch), 1810 nucleotides. RefSeq lists it as uncharacterized. The record is from RefSeq and is a predicted model, not a curated record. NCBI's taxonomy places the organism in Eukaryota, Metazoa, Chordata, Actinopteri, Centropomidae. The transcript has 2 exons.
AUUCAGUAAACCUUUAGAAAGGGUUCGUCUGCUUUAAAUAUGUAUUUUCCAUAUAAGAACUGGUGAGAUCUGAAACCAUAAAAAUCUAAAUCCGCCUCAACAGAACUUCUGUAUGGCGCCGAAUGCCCCAGAAUAUGAUAUUACUGAUAACAAGCAGUGUUUUUUCCAUUAUAGUUUUGACGAUCAGCGAAGUUACAAAAAAUGUCAUGAGUCGAGGGGAAGUUUGGCGCACACGAGCGAAGGGACUCUUGAUGGGGAACACACCCGGAAGCAGCUGAAGCGGCUCAGGGCAGAUGGAAUCUCAGUCUGAAACAUGGUGGCUGGAGAUGUAAUGCGAUGAUGUGAAAGUUACAUGUUCGUGAAUCGCAUGUUGGGAAGACUGUGCGAUCCCUGUGAGUUUCAGGAGCAGCUGAUGCUUCUUUGACGGAGCCUGUCUGACCUGCAGCUGAGCCUCCCUCUCUGCUUCACCAUGCCGCUGGUGGUGGACGCCGUGUGGGCUCUGUGGAGCAUCGGAGCCGGCAUCUAUGACUACUUCCACACCAGCGCCAUGGAGGAGAGGAUCCACACGCUGGAGAACGUCCUCUCCAUCCACCAGUUUGUGAUCGCGGGCCUGUCGGCAGGCCUCAUCCUGCUCAUGACGUACAUACUCUGGAGAAAACACUGAACCUCUGCCGACCUGGGCCUCUCCAGCCGAGGCCGGGCGCCCCCUUCCCCACCUAAAUGUUGUUUUGUCGCAGGGUGGCUUUCAUUACGCGGGCUAGUUUCCAUCCAGAUGUUGGCCAGAGGAGACAGUCUGGCUCUUACAGCUGCUCACACUUGGAGAUCAUGCAUGUUUGGUUACGAUUGGGACGUCCCAGAUGAGGUCAGGAGCACUGAUGGGGCGUCUAAACCGAGAAAAAAGCUCCAUGAGGACAUGUGGUCUCUGAAAACCUGCUGGGUACCAACGGCUAGUCUGGGCUUGGUCUGUGUCUUUCUGUCUGUAUUUUGUUAAACUGGCCUGAGGCGUCCACAGAACAUUCUCCACAUUAACCCAAAAUCAUGACUUUGCACUUUGACUUUUUUGCUUGAAGAACUUUAAUGUAGAAAACCCCUCUGAGAGUUGAAACUCCCUCCCAGUGCAGUGAGGUGAGAGCUGGAGGAUGUUUUAGGAUUUAAAACCUCUGAUUUGUUACUGGUUUGUUAAUAAGUUUAUCACAGGGUCACAGAGUAUUUACCUCAUGUUUACGAGUUAAUCACUACUUUUUUAAUAUAACACCAUUUUUUUGUUGCACUUACUCAUUUCUCUAAAACCAUCGAGCUGAGCAGUAACUGAAGAAAACAGCAUUUCAGUUAAACAUUUAUGUUCAGUCAGUGUUGCCUCAUAACAUCUACUGAUAAUCAAUGCCUCCAUUGAUUCCCACCUGUGACUUUAGUGUGAUUUAACAGGUAAUUAAAGUAAAAAUUCUAAAUGUCCAUGAUGGUGCAGGAGAGCAGGACGAGCACAAAAACACUGGGAAAUGAAUUCACUCAUCACUUGAUUUAUUAUUUUUUUCAUGCUGAGGAGGAAGGAAUGAAUUUUAUUUAUUGAGUGCUGUCUGAUGUCCAUCUUUACAUUUUCCUCACGUGUUAAAAUUAUGAUCUAAUGGUUCAGUCAAAUGUAUCGGUCACUUUUUCUCUGUUGCUUUCUCUGUGGGUGAACUGUGUGCACUACUCUGUUACUGAUGAACCACCACCGUGGCUAUGACUAAAGGGAAAAUGUUUGAAUAAUAAGUCAAAGCUGCUCUUUUUCUCUCGUGUCUGUGUUUUAAUUACAGCCUUUUUGUUUCUUGGA